Molecule: ribosomal RNA, 758 nt
Filed under: uncultured eukaryote
Lineage: Eukaryota
Description: SSU rRNA
Rfam family: Eukaryotic small subunit ribosomal RNA
Source: RNAcentral
AGUAACUCUAGAGCUAAUACAUGCAUUCAUCCCCGACUUCUUGGAAGGGGUGUACUUAUUAGAUGGAAACCAAUGCGGGGCAACCCGGAAUCUGGUGAUUCAUAAUAAUUUUCGGAUCGAUCGUACGAUCGAUGCAUCAUUCAAGUUUCUGCCCUAUCAGCUUUGGAUGGUAGGGUAUUGGCCUACCAUGGCAUUAACGGGUAACGGAGAAUUAGGGUUCGAUUCCGGAGAGGGAGCCUGAGAAAUGGCUACCACAUCCAAGGAAGGCAGCAGGCGCCUAAAUUACCCAAUCCUGACACAGGGAGGUAGUGACAAUAAAUAACAAUGCCGGGCUCAUCUGAGUCUGGCAAUUGGAAUGAGAACAAUUUAAAUCCCUUAUCGAGGAUCAAUUGGAGGGCAAGUCUGGUGCCAGCAGCCGCGGUAAUUCCAGCUCCAAUAGCGUAUACUAAAGUUGUUGCAGUUAAAAAGCUCGUAGUUGAAUUUCUGGCUUCGGAGCGCGAUCUAGCAAAUUUGUUAGUCAUCGUGAGUCGGAGCCAUCCUCGGGGAGAACAUGCCUGUGAUUAAGUUCAUGGGUAUGGGAGCCUGGUCAUGUCUGGUUAAUUCCGUUAACGAACGAGACCCCCGCCUGCUAACUAGUCCUAUCAAUGCCUAGCCUUGAUAGUGGCUUCUUAGAGGGACUUUCGGUGACUAAUCGAAGGAAGUUGGGGGCAAUAACAGGUCUGUGAUGCCCUUAGAUGUCCUGGGCCGCACGCGCGCUA